RNAcentral lists this ribosomal RNA (271 nucleotides) under uncultured bacterium. Its description in RNAcentral is "partial 16S ribosomal RNA". It matches the Rfam family "Bacterial small subunit ribosomal RNA", at positions 524 to 777 of the family's 1533-position model. The record is from RNAcentral.
UACAUGUGGGGCAAGCGUUGUUCGGAAUUAUUGGGCGUAAAGAGCGCGUAGGCGGUCCGAUAAGUCGGCUGUGAAAAGUCAGGGGGCUCAACCCUUGAAAAGCCGGCCGAUACUGUCGGACUAGAGUCCGGAAGAGGCAAGUGGAAUUCCCCGGUGUAGCGGUGAAAAUGCGCAGAUAUCGGGGAGGAAACACCCAAAUUUGCGAAAGGCAGCUUGCUGGGGACGGUACUGACGCUGAGGGCGCGAAAAGCGUGGGGGGAGCAAAACAGGG